Oncorhynchus mykiss (rainbow trout) is the source of this 1768-nucleotide long non-coding RNA. RefSeq lists it as uncharacterized. The record is from RefSeq and is a predicted model, not a curated record. Lineage: Eukaryota; Metazoa; Chordata; Actinopteri; Salmoniformes; Salmonidae.
UUAUUGCAUAGUUUUGAUGUCUUCACUAUUAUUCUACAAUGUAGAAAAUAAAGAAAAACCCUGGAUGGGUAGGUGUGUCCAAACUUUUGACUGGUACUGUAUAUAUUUAUUUUACUUUAAUGGAUCUUAAAAUUCAAAAUUAAAUAGCAAAUGAUCCUUGAUAUGACCUUCUUAAAGCAAUUCUAUAUAGCUUAGUAGAGCAUUUUCAGAUCGAGCAUUAAUUGCCUCUUAGACAGUGCUUAGACUGUUCAGUGCUGAAAAUAAGGGUUAAUACAUGUUCAAAAUAAAUAAUGUUUCCUGAUCUUGUAUCUCUCUCAUAUAGGACAGACAAUUCCAAACAAACUUCCUUUUGAAUCUUUUGCAGACUACCUGUUCCAUGUAGUGAAUUUGUUAUACCAUGCUUUUGAAUGGGUUAAUAGCAGUAAGGCCCAAAAUAAUUUAUAUUAAAAAAAAUACUUUUUAUACUCUUAAAAUAAUUCAAACUCAAAUAGCGAAAUGUUUCUUGGUAUGACCUUCUUAAAACAAUUCCAUAUAGCUUAGUACCUAUAACAAUACUGAACCAAAGUAAGUUUGUGGAAAUAAUCAUGAAUAGUGAGCACUUUGGUUUGAUAACAGUUUUGCAUAAUAGACAUUUAAUGGGGAUUUUGUUUUUGAAGUGUGUGUCCUCUCUGUAAGUCAGUAUCUGGCUGGGAGUGGUGGCCCUCAUGGUGCCCCACGCCCAUGUCCAUUCUGAAGAGCACAGAAGCCAAGAUCCUUGACAGUUAGUCCCCUUAUCUAAUAUGUCUGAAAGUAUUUCACAGGUACCCACCAGUCCUGACUUGACUACUUGAUUAUGUCACAUUGUAUCGCCCGCACUUUUUGUUGUCUCACCUCCAUGCCUCUCCUUUUCCGAGACCCUGGACCCUAACUGUCACCAACAGGAACCAGCUAAAUGCUCCCAAGCCUGUUGCACAGACACCUCUUAGGAUGGUCCAUGAUAUGGAUUUGGGGGAGGGUUUUGGAUACUUAACCUAGACCCUUCUGUCGCUCUCAACCACUCUUUGUGUUUGACUUGCUGGGUUUCGGACAUAGCUCCAGACCCCAAUUCCCCAUGGACUCAGCUCUGGCUGAGGAGCAGUCAGUCAGCACUGGAGGCGGGCCCUUGACCUGGAUCGCAUGCUCCUAUUGGGUCACAGUCUGGACUGCUACUUGGCAGCAUCUUAUGCCAUUCAAUACCCUGAGAGUCAGUCACCUGAUUCUGGUUGACCACUGGGGCUUCCAGCCCAUGCCUGUAGAUGCAACCUCAGGAUUGACCAGACCAGGCUGCCCUUGGGCCCGAAUAGCCUUUUCCACUCUCUUCAACCCACUGGCAUUGAUCUGAGCCGCAGGACCCUGGGGUCAAAAAUGAGUUAACAGAUUUGGUCCGGAUUUCAAUGUGAGGUUUCAUGGCCUACUUGAUAAAGACACUAUAGACAGAUUGGCUGACAUUGUCAUGAAAAUGAUGCGCUCACAUUGAUUUGGCCGGAAGGUGUCCUUUAUGAUACUGAACAGUCCUAUAUCUAGCAACAAUGACAAGAAGCUGCCUUGUGGGUGUUUGUAAGUGGCUCAUUUCAGCUCGUUGUAUCUUGUUAUUGAUACCAUGUCUUGUUUUGGCUGAUGUCAUGUCUAUGCUAAUAUAGCAAAAUUUCGCUAGCUAGCUAAUCAAUAUCACCAUUCACUAGCUAGCUAAGGAUGUAUUUGAGAGACAAGUGAUCAUUGUGCAAAUGUAUUUAUCUUUUCAAUAAACAUU